CCGUGGGCUGGGCACUGGCUGGAGCCCCGCCGCCUGUAAAGCGGCCGUCUUAGACUGUGGCAGUUCAAUUCUGUCCCCACGGACCA
Molecule: transfer RNA, 86 nt
Filed under: Mesorhizobium phage Cp1R7A-A1
Lineage: Duplodnaviria; Heunggongvirae; Uroviricota; Caudoviricetes
Description: tRNA-Tyr
Source: RNAcentral